GACGAACGCUGGCGGCGUGCCUAACACAUGCAAGUCGAGCGGGGUUGAAGCGAGAGGUAACUCGAGUUUCUACCUAGCGGCGGACGGGUGAGUAACGCGUGGGCAACCUGCCUCAAGGUCUGGGAUAACAGCCCGAAAGGGCUGCUAAUACCGGGUAUGCUUGUGGCCUCGCAUGGGGCUAUGAGCAAAGGGGAAACCCGCCUUGAGAUGGGCCCGCGUCCCAUCAGCUAGUUGGUGAGGUAACAGCUCACCAAGGCGACGACGGGUAGCCGGCCUGAGAGGGUGACCGGCCACACUGGGACUGAGACACGGCCCAGACUCCUACGGGGGGCAGCAGUGGGGGAUCUUGCACAAUGGGCGAAAGCCUGAUGCAGCGACGCCGCGUGAGCGAAGAAGGCCUUGGGUUGUAAAGCUCUGUCUGGAGGGACGAAGGAAGUGACGGUACCUCCGGAGGAAGCCACGGCUAACUACGUGCCAGCAGCCGCGGUAACUCGUCUCUA
This 500-nucleotide ribosomal RNA is filed under the name uncultured bacterium. RNAcentral's name for it is "bacterial SSU rRNA". It matches the Rfam family "Bacterial small subunit ribosomal RNA", at positions 28 to 533 of the family's 1533-position model. The record is from RNAcentral.